RNAcentral lists this ribosomal RNA (287 nucleotides) under uncultured bacterium. RNAcentral describes it as "partial 16S ribosomal RNA". It matches the Rfam family "Bacterial small subunit ribosomal RNA", at positions 30 to 315 of the family's 1533-position model. The record is from RNAcentral.
AUUGAACGCUGGCGGCAUGCCUUACACAUGCAAGUCGAACGGCAGCACGGGAGCAAUCCUGGUGGCGAGUGGCGAACGGGUGAGUAAUACAUCGGAACGUGCCCAAUCGUGGGGGAUAACUACGCGAAGACGUAGCUAAUACCGCAUACGAUCUACGGAUGAAAGACAGGGGAGUCGCAAGACCUUGCGCGAAUGGAGCGGCCGAUGGCAGAUUAGGAGUUGGUGAGGUAAAGGCUCACCAAGCCUUCCGAUCUGUAGCUGGUCUGAGAGGACGACCAGCCACACUG